Molecule: ribosomal RNA, 1331 nt
Filed under: Tetramitus sp. BD1-5
Lineage: Eukaryota; Heterolobosea; Eutetramitea; Acrasida; Vahlkampfiidae
Description: SSU rRNA
Rfam family: Eukaryotic small subunit ribosomal RNA
Source: RNAcentral
UAAUACUGUUGUAGUUAAAACGCCCGUAGUAAACCAAAGGGUCAUAGUUAUUGAUCUGACCAGUUCUGUUCGUCAUAGUCAGCCACGUAUUGUGGCUGAUUGGAUGAAUAAGGACAGGUCCUCGGUCUCUAACGGAAGCGAAAGGGUUCGCCCAACUAGCAUCCGCCAUGGGAUAGGUCAGUGAUUAUGGCUCGCUCCCUGUCAGUCCGCAAGGUCUGAUAGGGCCAUUUGGCACAACCGUAAACAAAUCAGAGUGCUCCAAGCAGGCAAUGUUAGGGGUAACCCAUUUGCUUGAAUGAUUUAGCAUGGAAUUGUCACGAAGCCGAUCGGAAACUUUGAGGGUUUACCUGAGAAGUGGAAGAUCCGGCGCUCGCAAUGAGACACUGGUAGAGGAUCCAAGUACUAUGGCGCGAGAGGUGAAAUUCAGUGACCGCCAUAUGACUAUCUAAUGCGAAAGCAGUUGUGAUCCAGAACGUGUCUGUCAAUCAGGGACGAAAGUUAAGGGAUCGAAGAUGAUUAGAUACCGUCGUAGUCUUAACCGUAAACGAUACCAACACGAGAUUGGUAGUGAGACUUUUAGAUCCUAUCAGAAUCCAAGGGAAACCGUUAAGUUUUUGGGUUCUGGGGGGAGUAUGGUCGCAAGGCUGAAACUUAAAGGAAUUGACGGAAAGGCACCACCAGGAGUGGAGUAUGCGGCUUAAUUCGACUCAACGCGGGGAAACUCACCAAGUUAGGAUGUGAAUAUGAUUGACAGAUUAAGGUUCUUUCUUGAUUUUACAGAAGGUGGUGCAUGGUCGUUCUUAGUUCGUGGAGUGAUUCGUCUUGUUAAUUCAGUUAACGAGCGAGACCUUAACUUGCUAAUUAAGGUACAGGGACUUCUUCGGUUGUCCGUCGUUUCGUUGAGGAAGUGUAUACUUUCUCAGGAAAUCUGUACUGUCGCUGGUUCGCCAGUGAUGCUUCUUAGAGGUACAGCACCCGUCCAGGGUGAGGAAGUUUAAGGCAAUAACAGAUCUGUGAUGCCCUUAGAUAUCUUGGGCUGCACGCGUACUACAAUAUUAAUAGCAACAAGUAACGUAGAGUCAUUCUUCGGAAUGCAACCCUGGUCCGAAAGGAUUGGGAAAUCUUAUCAAAGAUUAAUGUGACAGGGAUCGAGGUUUGUAAAUCCUCGUGAACGAGGAAUUCCUAGUAAGCAUGAUUCAUCAUGUCGUAUUGGCUUCGUCCCUGCCUUUUGUACACACCGCCCGUCGCUCGUACCGACUGAAUAGAGGUAUGAAUUUGAUGGACCAGCGUGGCGUUAAGCCAUGCGAGAAAAUCAACUGAAUUUCUCUAUU